GACGAACGCUGGCGGCGUGCUUAACACAUGCCAGUCGAACGGAAAGGCCCCUUGUGGGUACUCGAGUGGCGAACGGGUGAGUAACACGUGAGUAACCUACCCUUGACUUUGGGAUAACUUCAGGAAACUGGGGCUAAUACCGGAUAGGAGCUCCUGCUGCAUGGUGGGGGUUGGAAAGUUUCGGCGGUUGGGGAUGGACUCGCGGCUUAUCAGCUUGUUGGUGGGGUAGUGGCUCACCAAGGCUUUGACGGGUAGCCGGCCUGAGAGGGUGACCGGCCACAUUGGGACUGAGAUACGGCCCAGACUCCUACGGGAGGCAGCAGUGGGGAAUAUUGCACAAUGGGCGGAAGCCUGAUGCAGCAACGCCGCGUGCGGGAUGACGGCCUUCGGGUUGUAAACCGCUUUCGCCUGUGACGAAGCGUGAGUGACGGUAAUGGGUAAAGAAGCACCGGCUAACUACGUG
RNAcentral lists this ribosomal RNA (463 nucleotides) under uncultured bacterium. RNAcentral's name for it is "partial 16S ribosomal RNA". It matches the Rfam family "Bacterial small subunit ribosomal RNA", at positions 28 to 507 of the family's 1533-position model. The record is from RNAcentral.